Molecule: ribosomal RNA, 252 nt
Filed under: uncultured prokaryote
Description: partial 16S rRNA
Rfam family: Archaeal small subunit ribosomal RNA
Source: RNAcentral
ACCGGCAGCUCAAGUGGUGGCCAUUAUUAUUGGGCCUAAAGCGUUCGUAGCCGGUUUGAUAAGUCUCUGGUGAAAUCCCGCAGCUUAACUGUGGGACUUGCUGGAGAUACUAUCAGACUUGAGGUCGGAAGAGGUUAGGGGUACUCCCAGGGUAGGGGUGAAAUGCGAAAAUCCAGGGAGGAGCACCUGUGGCGAAGGCGCCUAACUGGAACGAACCUGACGGUGAGUAACGAAAGCCAGGGGAGCAAACCG